This 84-nucleotide transfer RNA is filed under the name Danio rerio (zebrafish). Its description in RNAcentral is "tRNA-Leu (CAA) (tRNA-Leu-CAA-6-1, tRNA-Leu-CAA-6-2)". It matches the Rfam family "tRNA". Rfam says of the family: Transfer RNA (tRNA) molecules are approximately 80 nucleotides in length. Lineage: Eukaryota; Metazoa; Chordata; Actinopteri; Cypriniformes; Danionidae. The record is from RNAcentral.
GUCAGAAUGGCCGAGUGGUCUAAGGCGCCAGAUUCAAGUUCUGGUCUCCAAAUGGAGGCGUGGGUUCAAAUCCCACUUCUGACA